RNAcentral lists this ribosomal RNA (304 nucleotides) under uncultured bacterium. Its description in RNAcentral is "bacterial SSU rRNA". It matches the Rfam family "Bacterial small subunit ribosomal RNA", at positions 30 to 334 of the family's 1533-position model. The record is from RNAcentral.
AUUGAACGCUGGCGGUAGGCUUAACACAUGCAAGUCGUGCGAGAAAGUAUCUUCGGAUAUGAGUAGAGCGGCGGACGGGUGAGUAACGCGUAGGAAUCUACCUAGUAGAAGGGGAUAGCCCGGGGAAACCCGGAUUAAUACCGUAUACCUCCUUCGGGAGAAAGAAGGCCUCUCUUUGAAGCUUUCGCUACUAGAUGAGCCUGCGUAAGAUUAGCUUGUUGGUGAGGUAAAGGCUCACCAAGGCGACGAUCUUUAGCUGGUCUGAGAGGACGAUCAGCCACAUUGGGACUGAGACACGGCCCAG